Molecule: long non-coding RNA, 1308 nt
Filed under: Bos indicus x Bos taurus (hybrid cattle)
Lineage: Eukaryota; Metazoa; Chordata; Mammalia; Artiodactyla; Bovidae
Description: lncRNA (ENSBIXG00000017062.1)
Source: RNAcentral
AUGUGCUACUCGGUCCCCAUUUGUCAUUUGUUCAAACGACAUUUAUUCAAAUCUGCAAAUGACACGUUUGGAGAACAGCCCUGCUGUGCCUCUCCGCCCCCCUCCCGUGGCCGCCUCCACGGCAGGGUCGGCCCCUCCGCACAGGGGCUCCGCACGCAGCCGGGCCGGCCGGAGGUCGACCAGCACGCGGCUCCCACCUGCGGCUCUUCCAGCCGCACCCCAAAUCCCCUCGUGAGGCGCCCCUCGGGCCCCCAGCCGCCCUGCCCCCGUGACCGAGGCUCGCUGGGGGUCCCUCAGCAUUCCUGCUCCGGGGCAGCGCGGAAGCCGGACCAGGCCGCUGCGGCCUCGCCUCACUUUCCACUCCAGGGCCCGGCUCCCGCGUCAGCCGAAGAGUCGGGGCGACGGGCAGAGGCUCCCUCAUCUUCGAGAUGCGCGCCGGCUGCGCGUCUGCGCGGCGCCCUGACUGUCGCCCACCGUCCUCUCCCUCCCCUGCCGACGACCUCCUCGCUGUGUGGCCUCGACUUCCUCCCAGGACCCGACAAAGAACAAACACCCAGAAACACCUCCAAACCCGCCUGUGCCCCGCUCACUGCCGCGUCCCGAGGACGCCCUCCCGCUUCCCCCUCAGUCCCUCACCCCCAGCCUCCAGGGCGCGGGCGACCGCUGAGCCCAGACCCAGUCCGGAGGCCCAGUGCGGUGCCUUCCGAGCCCGUCCCUCCACAGACAGGCAGGCAGGCAAACAGGCAGACACACACACACACAGACAGACACAGACAGGCAGACACACACACACGCAGACAGACACAGACAGGCAAAUACACAGACACACACACAGAGACACACACAGACACUGACACACACACAGACACACACAGAGACACAGACACAAGACACACACAAAAACAAAGACACACACAGACACACACAGAGACACAGACACAGACACAAGACACACACACAAAGACACACACAGACACACACAUACACACACACACAGACACACAAAGAGACACACACAGACACCCAUACACACAGACACACACACAGGCACAGACACACAAACCGACAUACACACAGACAUGCACACACAGACACACACACAGAGACACACACACAUACACACACACACAGACACACACAGACACACACACAGAGGCACACACAGAGGCAGACACACACACAGAGAGACAGACAUACACACAGACUGACACACACACAGACAGACACAGACACACACACAGAAACACACACACAGACACACUCACACAGAUGCACAAACACAGAUACACACACAGACACACAUGCUGA